Molecule: long non-coding RNA, 703 nt
Filed under: Homo sapiens (human)
Lineage: Eukaryota; Metazoa; Chordata; Mammalia; Primates; Hominidae
Description: non-protein coding lnc-MTRNR2L5-7:1
Source: RNAcentral
AGUCCUUACGCGGUGCCAGAGACUAUAAGUGGGCUUGAGCUCGACCGCGCGCCUGUGGAAGUUCUUUCUCUACUCGAAAAAGGGAAAGCAUUUCCUUGAGUUUGCGUUUUAAGGGAAACUUACAGCAUUGACACUUUAUUUAAAAUAUUCACUACUGCUGUAGAAAAAAAAAAACAAAACCCCGAAAAACAGUGGGGCUGUUUCUAAGACGCUGGGAAUCAGUAAAGAAUAGUGAUCCGGGAGAUACAGGAAGCAAAUGAUCUGCGCUCAAAAAGCGAGCUGCUUUCAAAGAUAUUAGUAUUUUAUAGAUGCGAUGCAGGAGAGUGAACUCAAGCAGAGCCCAGCCGAUUGCCUGCGUUGGCAAAAUAGAACAGAUAUUCUGGGGAGACCAAGCAAACAGCUUUCAAAAAUGAAGACUAACUAGGCUGGAUGCAGUGGCUCACACCUAUAAUCCCAGCACUUUGGAAGGCCGAGGUGGGCAGAUCACGAGGUCAGGAGAUCAAGACCAUCCUGGCUAACACAGUGAAAUCCCCCGUCUCCACUAGAAAUACAAAAAUUAGCCAGGCGUGGUGGCGGGCACCUGUAGUCCCAGCUACUCGGGAGGCUGAGGCGGGAGAAUGGCAUGAGCCUGGGAGGUGGAGGUUGCAGUGAGCCAAGAUCGUGCCACUGCACUCCAGCCUGGGUGACAGAGCAAGACUGUCUC